This is a non-coding RNA of Opisthorchis viverrini, 45 nucleotides long. The record is from Rfam. Lineage: Eukaryota; Metazoa; Platyhelminthes; Trematoda; Opisthorchiida; Opisthorchiidae.
GCACUGCUGAUGAGCUCCAAAAAGGACGAAACUUGAGUCCAGUGC